Long non-coding RNA from Melospiza melodia melodia, 4314 nucleotides. RefSeq lists it as uncharacterized. The record is from RefSeq and is a predicted model, not a curated record. NCBI's taxonomy places the organism in Eukaryota, Metazoa, Chordata, Aves, Passeriformes, Passerellidae. The transcript is spliced from 3 exons.
CAAGAAAGACUAUUUAGUGAAGUAGGCUAAUGGUGUUGCAGAGGAAGGGGGCUGAUUUUCACAUCUCAGAACUGUUAAGCCUGCAAAUAUUACUGAAAUCACAUCUGGGAACAAAGCUCUGCUUUAACCAGCACAAAGAGAGGUGCUGCAUCCUGGAGCACGGGCACAAGCAUCUGAGCACCAGAACUGCCAACAUCUGUCUCUGGAUUUCACAGCAAGGAAUGAGAGAAGAAGAAAUCUUCCCUAUCAGCGGCAGCAGGGGUUGCUGCAGCAAGAUGAUAAUUCCCUCCUGCUACUCUGCUGACAAGCACCAAGCUGCACAGGAAGAGCAAAGCAUUUUAAUCACGGGAUUGAAAAAUGCAGCAGUUCCUAAAGCUUCACCUUACCUUGGCUGAUUUACAUUAAUUUAGGAUCAACUGGCUUUCAGAGGAAUAAUCCAUGGAAGAUAACAGAGGAGAAAAAAAUUUGUUGGAACUUCUAGUUUCCCUGUGCAUAACAUGCAAGGAUCUAUGUAUAUAAACAGUUUUGGAGCAUCUUAGAUGAGCAAGGAUUAUUGAAUUCCUUAAAAUCACAGUGCAAAGUUGGGGGCUCCCUAAUUCCAUACUAAGUGUUUUUUAAGUGCCACACUUUCAAAUACACAGCAUUAAAGGGAUAAAAAAAACCACAUCAGAAACUGGAUUCAGGGUCCAAUCCAGUGUCCACUGGAACCACCAAAAAUCCUGUGACAGAGGCCUUGAGGUUUUGGCUCUGGCUCUUUGAUCAGAUUAUCAUUUAUAACAAAGGCAAUCCAUAAGGAGCUGCUAAGACAAAUGCAAAUCUUGUGUCAAAGACAGUCAGACACCCCCCCCCAAAAUUGAAAAUUUGAGCACACAGCAGCUUCCAGGCAGCAGCUUUGGGCAUGUGGCACAACAUCUGCUGCAAAAACACUCGAAAGCAGACCUGCGGCAAGCUGGAGCGGCGCCAGCUCCCAGAUUAUCCCCCCUCCAAGGCUGCCAAGGCAAUGGACAGAUGGCAGCCAGUGCACUCACAGGAUAGUUAGCUCAGUUAACAAUCAAGUAUGCUAAAUGAUUUCAGAUUCACUCUGCACCAAGCAUUGUACUUUCCAGUGAACCAUUAACACUGUGUCCUAAUAGAAAUAUGGUUUGGUAUGAAGGAACUGGCAGAUCCUGUAUUUUACAAGACAGUUUCUCUGGAACAAUUUGUCAGGGAACAUUAGAUCUGCCUUCAUGAAUAAAGUGAGAAUCUGCCAAGUUUGCCAGGCGGGUUUGUUCAUCAUUUGAAUUCUGCAGGGUUUGAGGAGUGAGGAUGGAAACAAACAGGAGGAUGCAGGUCAGUUAUCCACACAAGCUGCUGCCAGGGAUGCACUCAGUGGAAAGCAGGAGGGUGUUGGGAGCACACAGGAUCUCCCAUCACAGCAGCUGUGCCCCUGCAGUGCUGCCUGCCUGCUGUAGGGCAUAACAGAGUUCUCCUGCACUGGACAGCUAUCACAAGCAGCCUGCUGGUGACACACUUGUCAGCCGAGUGCACAGAUGUGACAACUCAUCCCAGAAAAGCUACAGGUUCUUGGGUUUAAAUGGGUAAAAUCUGUAAAGAAAAUUUGGGCCCCAUAUAUCAAGGGGGCAAAUAAUUGACUACUGAGCACUAGCACCUAGCAUAUAGGUGGACUAUGGCCUCAGCAUUACAAGAUACAUCCUUAAAUUCUUCCUCCUUAUGGUUAGAUAUCAUUGCCUUUAAGGACAUUUGUAGACCUAGUGACAAAUUUAUUCUAUUGAUUUGCCUUUCCAUAAAUCAGGAGGUCAAGAAUAGUGUUUGAAAAAAAAAAAUGUUGGUUUCUUCUCCCACCUCCACCCUCUGCUCCUGUUGCACAUCCCUUUUAUCUCUCCACCCAAAAUCCCAUGUAGCUAAACAGCUGGUCAAAAGUGUAAUACAAUUUAUUUAUUAUGUAGUUGGCUGCCAUUACCGUUUUAUUCAUCAUUGUUGCACCUAAUAAUUACCCUGAGAAAAUACACACCACCAGCCCUUUUCUGCCUGCAUUGGAAAAAUCCAACAGCAGAAAGCAGGGGAGAAACCCAAGAAAAACAAGUAGAAAAAUAGAAGGACAGAGAAGAGAGAGAACUUAGUGAGCUCUGUUGGAGGAGGUAGGAGUUGUGCCAUGGAUACCAGAAAAGCAGCACCUCACACUUCUUAUCUGUUAUCUCAGUUGCAAAGAGUAGGACUGAAGCAAACUGGAAAACCUGAAGCACUUCUAGUGGGCAGCCAACAAAUGAGUUCCCCACACAGUCAGGUGAGAGCAGCAGCUUCUGACCAGUGCAGUGAAGCCUUGUGCUUUGGACUCGGAGCUCUCCCAGGGCACAGAGCUCGUUCUGCUGCAGCUGCUGAGCCCAGAGCAGCUGCAUGGCAUGGUGCAGGGCUGCAGGAACCCCCAACAAUGCUGGGCCUGCUUUGCUGAAUGAGAGGGCAUCACACAGGGGCUCAUCUCUGCCCAGAGCAGCUGCAUUGCAUGGUGCAGGGCUGCAGGAACCCCUUGCUCAGUGAAAGGGCAUCACAAGCUCUGCCCACUCUCCCUUUCUGCUCUGACACCAGUUUCCCUCAGAGACAUUCACAGGGCAUUGCCAAAGUCAUACCAGCAAAAUCAGCACCAGCAGGCAAGAACUCCUAUUCCCUGCUCUCCCCAUUCCAACAUGGAAAGGUGUCACAGAAAUAUCAGAGCAAGAGCUCUGCCAGAGCAUGGAGCUCCUCAGCUGUCCUCCCUGCAGCUCUGCUCUCUCUUGAGGAGGCAAUGUUGUGACCCCAGUGUGUGAUCACCAGAGCAGGGAGUCAGAGAUGCAAUUAAAAAAAAAAAAAAAAUCAAGAGCAAACCGGUUAAAAAUGGAGACAGAAGCAACCUCAUUUUCUGGCUCAACUUUAUGAAAAUCUGAUUAGACCUCAGUGAAAUUUAAUCUUUGCCUUCCAGACCUUCUGAGACAACAAUAAAGAUCUCCUGAGCUCAUAAAGUACCCAGAGAGGAGAGAUACCACCCAGCCAGGAAAAUAGCUGAAAAAAAUUAUUUUUCUUGCCCUAAUCACCAGGUAAAUCUGCAAAAAAUGUCAUUAAAAAGUAAAUUAUAAAAAGCUGCGUGUCACUAUUUUCAAAUACAAGAAUACACUUUAUCAAAGUAAUAAAAUAAUAUGAAAAAGACAAGACAAAUUAGCUACAGCAAUAAUCAGGAAUGCCAGACAUUCAGAAGAGAGUAUUUGUUCAAAUUGCUAAGAUAGCCAAGAGACAGAAAAAUUUGACUCCCAGCAGUCCCACAGUGCUAAUAUUUCUUUCUCCUUUUUUCCUACCACAAAUUUACAGCAGAAACAAAACUACCAGAUAUAUUUUUAUAUUAUCAGCCCUUCCCCAGAACAAUUCUGCUUCAAAACCACUCAUUAAGCUGGAACUGGCAAAACCCAAAGUUCCAGCCUUCUCUUCUCAUCCAGAGGAUCCACAUUUCUCCAUGUCCUUGUAACAGCUGUUCCUACGUUGCCUCAUGAGACAAAGAAAUAUGGGAAUUUUUUUGACUUUCCUCGAAACAUUUUUACUUUCAUGGACAGAUAAUACAUGGAGCCAUUAGCCCCCAGGGGUCUCACAGCCAAACCUUUCCUGCUUGGGGCUGCUGAGCCCACCACAAGCCAUGUUUUGCUGGCACAGUGUAACAUCAAUGUUGUAGGAUUUUAUGGUUUAUCUGGAUUCUUGCAAUGCUCUGCUCACAGUCCAACAAGAUCAGCUUUUUCAGCUUGCAGGAAAGAAAGCAAGCAAUUCUUACCAAAGUACAGCAGUCUGGGAAAUGAAAACAGAAAGGGAAAAACCAGACAUGAAUGGGUGGUAAAAUUGUAUUUGCAAUCUUCUCCUCUAAUGAUGUAGUGCAGCAGCCAUCUCCAACCAACUCAUCAUAAUACCACACAGAGUGAUAUGUGCAGGAAAUGUUAAAUAUUAAAGAAACAAACAGAUGCUAAAAAAAUCCUAAACUAUGGGGCGUGCAGAGCCAAAAUAAUUGGGAUAAUGUGCAUGUACUGAGUUAAAAACUAGAGGAUGGUAGAUUAUAUAUACAUGUGUGUGUGUGUAUAUAUAUCUAUCAAUCAUCUAGGAACUCAAUUUAAUUUUUGCAUGCACUGAUUCCCCCAUGUCCUUAUUGUUGCUUAUAGAAUCCUUCCCUUACUAAUUCCAUGUCUCAUACAGUCAUGCAACAAAAACAUGGUUACGUUGUAUAUAGUUACCCAGCAGAAUGUCUGUGGAAUAAAGUUUGCUGAUUAAAAUCCUAUUUUAAUCAUGCAAUUAAAAAGUCUACAGUAA